GGGUAGCAAUACACCGGCGUACGGGUGCGUAACGCGUAUGGAACCUGCCCUUAUCUGGGGGAUAACUCGGGGAAACUCGAGCUAAUACCGCAUAAGAUAGUAGAAUGGCAUCAUUCAGCUAUUAAAGAUUUAUUGGAUAAGGAUGGCCAUGCGUAAGAUUAGAUAGUUGGCGAGGUAACGGCUCACCAAGUCUACGAUCUUUAGGGGCUCUGAGAGGAGAAUCCCCCACACUGGCACUGAGAUACGGGCCAGACUCCUACGGGAGGCAGCAGUAGGGAAUAUUGGGCAAUGGGCGAAAGCCUGACCCAGCCACGCCGCGUGCAGGAAGACGGCCCUCUGGGUUGUAAACUGCUUUUAACUGGGAAGAAAAGAGGCCUUGCGAGGCAAGUUGACGGUACCAGUUGAAUGAGCCACGGCUAACUACGUGCCAGCAGCCGCGGUAAUACGUAGGUGGCGAGCGUUAUCCGGAUUUAUUGGGUUUAAAGGGAGCGUAGGCGGCUGAUUAAGUCAGCGGUGAAAGGUAGCAGCUUAACUGUUUUACAUGCCGUUGAUACUGGUUAGCUUGAGUUGACAGAAGGCAGAUAGAAUUCCUGAUGUAGCGGUGAAAUGCUUAGAUAUCAGGAGGAAUACCGAUUGCGAAGGCAGUCUGCUGCAGUCACACUGACGCUGAGGCUCGAAGGUGCGGGGAUCAAACAGGAUUAGAUACCCUGGUAGUCCGCACAGUAAACGAUGAUUACUAGAUGUUGGCCAAGCCAGUGUC
RNAcentral lists this ribosomal RNA (760 nucleotides) under uncultured Bacteroidota bacterium. RNAcentral's name for it is "bacterial SSU rRNA". It matches the Rfam family "Bacterial small subunit ribosomal RNA", at positions 82 to 847 of the family's 1533-position model. The record is from RNAcentral. Lineage: Bacteria; Pseudomonadati; Bacteroidota.